AGCGAACGCUGGCGGCAGGCCUAACACAUGCAAGUCGAACGAACCUUUCGGGGUUAGUGGCGGACGGGUGGGUAAACCGUGGGAAAGUGCCUUUAGGUCCGGAAUAACUUAGGGAAACUUGUGCUAAUACCGGAUGUGCUCUUCGGGGGGAAGAUUUAUCGCCUUUAGAGGGGCGUGCGACCGAUUAGCUAGAUGGGUGAGGUAAUGGCUCACCAUGGCGACGAGGGGUAGCUGGUAGGAGAGAAUGAGUAGCUACAUUGGGGCUGAGACACGGCCGGAACUCCUGCGGGAGGCAGGAGUGGGUAAUCUAGCGCAAUGGGCGAAAUCCUGACGCAGCCAGGCCGGGAGAAUGAUGAAGGUCGGAGGAUUGUAAAGUUCUUUCACCGGGGACGAUAAUGACGGUACCCGGAGAAGAAGCCCCGGCUAACUUCGUG
Molecule: ribosomal RNA, 434 nt
Filed under: uncultured bacterium
Lineage: Bacteria
Description: partial 16S ribosomal RNA
Rfam family: Bacterial small subunit ribosomal RNA
Source: RNAcentral